AAGUCGUAACAAGGUUUCCGUAGGUGAACCUGCGGAAGGAUCAUUAACACGUAUCCAAACGUUAAAACCGCCCCCGUGAACCUUCGGAAAGUUGUAGUGAUUCAGAGACCUCUGGCUACGUGCUAACAUUGGAACAGUUACAAUCGAGCGGUAGUUCUAUAGGCAAUGUUUCCCCAAGCAGUCAGUGUCGGAAAGUGUCAUUGAUUGUGCAAGGAUAGCGCUUCUACGAUUCCUGUAGACCGUACACUCGGGCAGGAGCUUUGCCAAAGGGUCCCCAUGCCCCCUAAUAACCCCACAGUUUAAUGUGAAGCUCAAUGUAAUACAUUGGGUAAAAAAACCGAACAACUGUUAACAAUGGAUAUCUUGGUUCUC
This 372-nucleotide unclassified non-coding RNA is filed under the name fungal sp. RNAcentral's name for it is "partial internal transcribed spacer region". The stretch from base 1 to 46 matches the Rfam family "Eukaryotic small subunit ribosomal RNA", at positions 1786 to 1831 of the family's 1831-position model. Lineage: Eukaryota; Fungi. The record is from RNAcentral.